GGCAUGUGUGUGUAAAGCAUUUUUAGAGGCAAUUAGUUGAAUUAAAAGUUGGCUGCCACCCAAAUUCAUUGGAAGCGAUUGGUUGAAAGGCCGUUCACAACAGGCGAUUGUUGCUUUCAACUAAAAGUUGCCUGUGA
Molecule: long non-coding RNA, 137 nt
Organism: Rhagoletis zephyria (snowberry fruit fly)
Lineage: Eukaryota; Metazoa; Arthropoda; Insecta; Diptera; Tephritidae
Source: RefSeq, a predicted model, not a curated record